Long non-coding RNA from Cebus imitator (Panamanian white-faced capuchin), 428 nucleotides. RefSeq lists it as uncharacterized. NCBI's taxonomy places the organism in Eukaryota, Metazoa, Chordata, Mammalia, Primates, Cebidae. The transcript is spliced from 3 exons. The record is from RefSeq and is a predicted model, not a curated record.
ACGAACAUCACUUUUUUUCCUCCUCUUCUUUAGGUGUAGAUUUAUUUUGUUUUAUUUUUAUUUUUGGCAAAUGGGAUCGGUUUUAGCUGGGGAUCAGUAUCUGAAAGCCCCAACCCCCAUGCUGAUGGUAUAGUUAGGACCUUUGCAUUUGAUGGAAAAAAACGUAGUAUUUUCUGUCAUCCACGUGUGUUGUGAGUAGCAAGCUCUUCAACGUAAAUGCAGAGGAAGGGAGAAAUCCUCUUCUCAGAUGGGGAAACUCAGGCAGAGACUGCUAUGGGGUGGUUUUUGCCAAGCUAUGCAAAAUACUUAACGCAGGGCUACACGGAAGCUCCAGAAAUCAUUUUGUUUGCUUUGGCACUGUUUCACCGUCUGGGCAAUCAUUUAUUCUCCUUGGGCAUUUAUCAACCAGGGAGAAGAAGCCAUGUAGC